AUGGAGGGCGAGGCGAGCAAGACGAAGACGGUGUGCGUGACCGGCGCCGGCGGCUUCGUCGGCUCGUGGCUCGUGAAGCGGCUCCUGUCCACGGGCGAGUACACGGUGCAUGGCACCGUUCGCGACCUCGGUGAUCGCAGGACCGGCCACCUGAAGGCGCUGGACGGCGCCGGCGAGCGGCUGCGGCUGUUCAAGGCCGACGUGCUGGACUACGCGAGCGUGGCGUACGCCGUGACCGGCUGCGGCGGCGUCUUCCACGUCGCCAGCCCCGUCCCCGCCGACAAGCCCCAGAACCCCGAGGUGGAGGUCCUGGCUCCGGCGGUGAGGGGCACGCAGAACGUGCUCAAGGCCUGCCACCAAGCCAAGGUCGGCCGCGUCGUCGUGGUGUCGUCGGCAGCCGCGGUGGCCAUGAACCCCGGCUUCCCCAGGGACGCCGUCCUGGACGAGGACGCGUGGUCAGACGAGGACCACUGCAGAACCACGGGGAUGUGGUACGCCCUCUCCAAGACACUGGCCGAGCGCGAGGCUCUGGCCUACGCCGAGAAGACCGGGCUGGACGUGGUCACCGUGUGCCCGCCCUUGGUCCUCGGCCCGCUGCUGCAGCGCGUGGCCAACACCAGCAGCCUGGUCCUCGUCAACCUGCUCAAAGGCGACUGCGACACCGUGGAGGACAAGGCGAGGAACGCGGUGGACGUCCGGGACCUCGCCGACGCGCUCGUCCUGGCGUACGAGACCCCGGAGGCGUCCGGGCGGUACAUCUGCGGCGCGUACCGAAAGAAGCUGUCUGAAAUGGUCGACAUCGUCAAGAGCUUCUAUCCAGACCUUACACGCCCCAUGAAGUUUGUUGAAGGGGAAGAGGAAAGGAUGAUGAGCUCCAAGAGGCUGCAGGCGCUGGGGUGGAAGUUGAGGGCGGUGGAGGAGUGCCUCAGGGACAGCGUCGAGUCGUACAAGGCCGCCGGGCUGCUGCCGGAGUGA
RNAcentral lists this ribosomal RNA (975 nucleotides) under Triticum aestivum (bread wheat). RNAcentral's name for it is "partial small subunit ribosomal RNA". Lineage: Eukaryota; Viridiplantae; Streptophyta; Magnoliopsida; Poales; Poaceae. The record is from RNAcentral.